RNAcentral lists this ribosomal RNA (118 nucleotides) under Nannospalax galili (Upper Galilee mountains blind mole rat). Lineage: Eukaryota; Metazoa; Chordata; Mammalia; Rodentia; Spalacidae. The record is from RNAcentral.
GUCUCCAGUCACACUACUCUAAAUGUACCCAGUUUCAUCUGAUCUUGGAAGCUAAGCAGGGGCAGGUCUAGCCAGUACUUGGACAGAAUGUUAUGUUGCAUGGUCAUUGUUGAAGAGU